UACGGAGGGGGCUAGCGUUGUUCGGAAUUAUUGGGCGUAAAGGGCGCGUAGGCGGCCGGAUAAGUCUGAUGUGAAAUCCCUCGGCCCAACCGGGGAACUGCAUUUGAAACUGUUCGGCUCGAGUCCGGGAGAGGGUAGUGGAAUUCCCAGUGUAGCGGUGAAAUGCGUAGAUAUUGGGAGGAACACCGGUGGCGAAGGCGGCUACCUGGACCGGUACUGACGCUGAUGCGCGAAAGCUGGGGUAGCAAACAGG
RNAcentral lists this ribosomal RNA (253 nucleotides) under uncultured bacterium. RNAcentral describes it as "partial 16S ribosomal RNA". It matches the Rfam family "Bacterial small subunit ribosomal RNA", at positions 524 to 776 of the family's 1533-position model. The record is from RNAcentral.